Choloepus didactylus (southern two-toed sloth) is the source of this 851-nucleotide long non-coding RNA. RefSeq lists it as uncharacterized. Lineage: Eukaryota; Metazoa; Chordata; Mammalia; Pilosa; Megalonychidae. The transcript is spliced from 3 exons. The record is from RefSeq and is a predicted model, not a curated record.
UCUCUACCCCACAGAUGUAUGGACUCCAAGCUGGAUCCCAACCUUCACCUGUCAGCACCACAGGAAAUGAGGCAACCAAGCUGGACCAUUUCUGAGGGAGCACUGAGGAGCUGUACUGACUCACUGUCCUAGGGGGAUGAAUGGCUUGAGGACUAACACCCUGAUGACACAGCAGCUGAGGUCCUCAGUGAAUUACCAGCUCUCCAGGCUAAUUUUUAGAAGAUCGUUCUCUCAAGAAAUGAAACCAAAAGACCAACCACAGCAACUUAAACUCAGUCAUCCACACAUCAUCAAACAUUUAAGCAAAGUCUGCAACAUGUGAGAUAAACAGAGAAGAUAACCCAGAAACUGAGAUAAUUCAGGGACUAUUUUUAUAUUUUAAAUAAUUUUCAAAAACAAACCAAAAACCACUGGAGGAGGUACUGGACACAAACUGCCACAUUGAUCUGGUCAAAGAAGAUCCUGUCAGCUUUCUAACAGCAAUCUUAAAAGUAUGACUACCAUGCACCACCUAUAUAUUCUUGUGGAAAUCAUACUUACAUGCCCAUGUUGUAUGGGAAAGGAAUGUGUUUUAACACCAGAUGAAAACCCAAGUUUCACUUACUACCUGUGUGCUCUUGAGUAAAGCAUGUACAUUCUGAGCCUCAGUUUUAUCAAGCACAACUUGGGAGUUACUUAUAGAGUUACUAUAAGAAUUUAAUGUUAUUUUUUCUCAUUUGGGAAUACAUCCAGUAGAAUUUAUUUUGUCCCCUAUAAAUGGCAUUCUUGUUACCAUGAUAUGGUAGAAAAAGCUGAUGGUGUGUUAUUCCAAAAAUAUUAAAAGAGGGCUGAGGGAUCCAAGAUAUCCUAUU